RNAcentral lists this ribosomal RNA (460 nucleotides) under uncultured bacterium. RNAcentral describes it as "partial 16S ribosomal RNA". It matches the Rfam family "Bacterial small subunit ribosomal RNA", at positions 338 to 795 of the family's 1533-position model. The record is from RNAcentral.
CCUACGGGUGACAGCAGUGAGGAAUAUUGGUCAAUGGACGAGAGUCUGAACCAGCCAAGUAGCGUGAAGGAUGACUGCCCUAUGGGUUGUAAACUUCUUUUAUAUGGGAAUAAAACGUUCCACGUGUGGGAUUUUGUAUGUACCAUAUGAAUAAGGAUCGGCUAACUCCGUGCCAGCAGCCGCGGUAAUACGGAGGAUCCGAGCGUUAACCGGAUUUAUUGGGUUUAAAGGGAGCGUAGGUGGAUUGUUAAGUCAGUUGUGAAAGUUUGCGGCUCAACCGUAAAAUUGCAGUUGAAACUGGCAGUCUUGAGUACAGUAGAGGUGGGCGGAAUUCGUGGUGUAGCGGUGAAAUGCUUAGAUAUCACGAAGAACUCCGAUUGCGAAGGCAGUUCACUGGACUGCAACUGACACUGAGGCUCGAAAGUGUGGGUAUCAAACAGGAUUAGAUACCCUGGUAGUC